RNAcentral lists this long non-coding RNA (214 nucleotides) under Elaeis guineensis (African oil palm). RNAcentral's name for it is "long non-coding RNA (EGUI_LNC033132)". The record is from RNAcentral. Lineage: Eukaryota; Viridiplantae; Streptophyta; Magnoliopsida; Arecales; Arecaceae.
GCAGGACCAUGGUAAUUUUUUCCAUCAAAUCUUAUCAUGAUAUCAUCAUGCUUAGCUCUUGCUCGAGAGAGGGGAACUCACAGAUGCUUAGGUCCAACUUGAACCUGCUAUGCAUUUACCGUCCAAAAAUGAAUAAGAUGAUUUAUACCAAUAAAAAAAAUUACAAGAAUUUUUGUAUAAAUAUGAAAAAGGAUGGUAAUUAAUAUACAAAGAC